UCUAUCAUAUUCGUAUCAUCGUCCAUCGCGAUCGAAAACGUCGAAAAUCGUCGCAAAAUACUCAAAGCGUGUCACGGAUCGAACAGGAGGCAACCUGAUCGAACAGGCCAGCCGAUCGGCUAGCAUCUUGCCAGCCGAUCGAGCAGCCCACUCGAUCGGAGCCCCUGGCCGAUCGGCUGACACUUCCCUCUUUUGGAAGCCUAUAAAUAGGGCUGUCAUUGUCAUACUUUCCAUUUUUGGAAAGCUCUGACCGAACCAGCUAUCUUCUUCACCUUUUCUCAGAUUUCUCUCAAUCCCGUAUGGCACUCGAUUGGGAAUGCCAGUCGAUCGAACAGACCGUUCGAUCGAGUGACAUUCAGUUGGGGACUAACCUUGAAGCUCCUAGCCGAUCGAGUGAGCUAGCCGAUCGAGUGAGCUAG
RNAcentral lists this long non-coding RNA (419 nucleotides) under Helianthus annuus (common sunflower). RNAcentral describes it as "hypothetical non coding rna". The record is from RNAcentral. Lineage: Eukaryota; Viridiplantae; Streptophyta; Magnoliopsida; Asterales; Asteraceae.